Molecule: ribosomal RNA, 496 nt
Filed under: uncultured bacterium
Lineage: Bacteria
Description: partial 16S ribosomal RNA
Rfam family: Bacterial small subunit ribosomal RNA
Source: RNAcentral
GAUGAAUGCUGGCGGCGUGCCUAAUACAUGCAAGUCGAGCGAACGGACGAGAAGCUUGCUUCUCUGAUGUAGCGGCGGACGGGUGAGUAACACGUGGAUAACCUACCUAUAAGACUGGGAUAACUUCGGGAAACCGGAGCUAAUACCGGAUGAUAUUUUGAACCGCAUGGUUCAAAAGUGAAAGACGGUCUUGCUGUCACUUAUAGAUGGAUCCGCGCUGCAUUAGCUAGUUGGUAAGGUAACGGCUUACCAAGGCAACGAUGCAUAGCCGACCUGAGAGGGUGAUCGGCCACACUGGAACUGAGACACGGUCCAGACUCCUACGGGAGGCAGCAGUAGGGAAUCUUCCGCAAUGGGCGAAAGCCUGACGGAGCAACGCCGCGUGAGUGAUGAAGGUCUUCGGAUCGUAAAACUCUGUUAUUAGGGAAGAACAUAUGUGUAAGUAACUGUGCACAUCUUGACGGUACCUAAUCAGAAAGCCACGGCUAACUACGUG